AAGUUCAGGGUUCAUACACCUUUUUAGUUCCAUUUUUCCAUGACUUUUCCAUGACUUUUCAAGGAUGUUUUAUGAAAUUUCCAUACCCCAAAACUAUAGACCAAAAAGUCAUCCCUAAUGCUAUAAACAUGCUUUUGUGUCCUUUCCAUGCAACUAAAUAAACAAUCUUUUUAACACCCAAUAAUGACACAAUUGCACUGAAACACAAUGAGAAAU
This 216-nucleotide long non-coding RNA is filed under the name Mytilus galloprovincialis (Mediterranean mussel). The record is from RNAcentral. Lineage: Eukaryota; Metazoa; Mollusca; Bivalvia; Mytilida; Mytilidae.